ACUUUGUCUCGCUAGGUGGAGCUCUCGAGUAGUAGGACAGAAUGAUCCACUAAUACAUACAUUCACCGCGGAAGAAAUGGGCGCACGAGUUGAUACUGUUGCGAAGGUGUAUUGCAGCAGCCUCCCAGAUAUGUGCGACGGCACAGGAGGCGUGGUUUGUGGGGCACUGUGUGGCACCGUCCGACGAGGACAGAGGACAGGAGGGUAGCGAGAGACCUCGAGGGAACAAGUCGUACUCUGGGGAGCAGUCAGAGAGUGAACGAGAGACGGAGAGACAGUGAAGUGCCUGACGAACUAACAAAGUGUUACCCGUACUUUGCUGCCGCCCCCUGCCCUGCCCCGUCCUGUGUGCCGCCGCCACCUGUUCCGGUGACUCGUGUAUAGUUGCUGUAAUAUAGAGAAAUAAGGAA
Long non-coding RNA from Portunus trituberculatus (swimming crab), 410 nucleotides. RefSeq lists it as uncharacterized. The record is from RefSeq and is a predicted model, not a curated record. The transcript has 2 exons. NCBI's taxonomy places the organism in Eukaryota, Metazoa, Arthropoda, Malacostraca, Decapoda, Portunidae.